ACUCACUCACAGCCAUUUCUUAUUCCAUUUUCGGGGUCCCCUUCUUGACAUACUAAUUGGUCUCUCU
Molecule: non-coding RNA, 67 nt
Organism: Caenorhabditis elegans
Lineage: Eukaryota; Metazoa; Nematoda; Chromadorea; Rhabditida; Rhabditidae
Source: Ensembl